GUUGCUUGAAUUAAACAGAACUGUUUAUUGAUUUUUUAUGAUGAGAGCUGCCAGGCCCUUGAUGAACUUCCGAGGAAUAAGCCAGUUGUGAGAGAGAAGAGUUGGACCCCCUGCAGAGCCCCUGCAAUUUAAGAGGAUAAUUUGACAUCAGUUCCAGGCUGCAGGCUGAGAGUGGAAGACGGAGAAAGGCUGUGAGUGUGGAAAUGGUCUCCUGUUGACCUGUUAAGCCAGCUGUCCUCCUGCCUCAGAGAGAAUGUGAAGGCUGCAGCCUCUGCCAUGUUUCUGUAAUCCAUCACGAGAUGCCUGACCUAUUACAAUGUGAUAUGUACCUUCCACGUGAGAUCCGAUGAGCAGUCAUGGGCCGUGAUGAGAAGAGGAAUAGACUGGAAAGAGUCGACUCGACUGAGUGCCAGCCACUUCCAACCAAUCCUGAUCUCCUUUCUGUAUAUCAAGUUGCAGGCCUACAGUCAUGCCAAGCUAAAUGGAAUGAGAGUCGGGUUGCAGGGAAAAUUUCAGCUGGAAUGAAUUUGGGGAACAGGUCAAGAAAUGUAAUGGAAGAAAUGCUUCACUGAACGCACUGUGCUGAUUCUGUAUGGUGUAUAUUCUGUUCUUUUGAGAGUUCCAAGUACAUAAAAACUUUGUUUCCUUCAGAGAAUUUCAAGUACAUUAAAACUGUAUUAGGAUCCCUUCCUUGUA
This is a long non-coding RNA of Pygocentrus nattereri (red-bellied piranha), 696 nucleotides long. RefSeq lists it as uncharacterized. The record is from RefSeq and is a predicted model, not a curated record. The transcript has 2 exons. NCBI's taxonomy places the organism in Eukaryota, Metazoa, Chordata, Actinopteri, Characiformes, Serrasalmidae.